This 505-nucleotide ribosomal RNA is filed under the name uncultured bacterium. RNAcentral's name for it is "partial 16S ribosomal RNA". It matches the Rfam family "Bacterial small subunit ribosomal RNA", at positions 28 to 507 of the family's 1533-position model. The record is from RNAcentral.
GACGAACGCUGGCGGCGUGCCUAAUACAUGCAAGUCGAACGCACAGUUUAUACCGUAGCUUGCUACACCAUAGACUGUGAGUUGCGAACGGGUGAGUAACGCGUAGGUAACCUGCCUGGUAGCGGGGGAUAACUAUUGGAAACGAUAGCUAAUACCGCAUAAUAUUAAUUAUUGCAUGAUAAUUAAUUGAAAGGUGCAAUUGCCCCACUACCAGAUGGACCUGCGUUGUAUUAGCUAGUAGGUGAGGUAACGGCUCACCUAGGCGACGAUACAUAGCCGACCUGAGAGGGUGAUCGGCCACACUGGGACUGAGACACGGCCCAGACUCCUGCGGGAGGCGGCAGUAGGGAAUCUUCGGCAAUGGACGAAAGUCUGACCGAGCAACGCCGCGUGAGUGAAGAAGGUUUUCGGAUCGUAAAGCUCUGUUGUAAGAGAAGAACGGGUGUGAGAGUGGAAAGUUCACACUGUGACGGUAUCUGACCAGAAAGGGACGGCUAACUACGUG